AUAUAGCGAAUGAAGUAAUGAAC
RNAcentral lists this small RNA (23 nucleotides) under Arabidopsis thaliana (thale cress). Its description in RNAcentral is "ATSL145410". The record is from RNAcentral. Lineage: Eukaryota; Viridiplantae; Streptophyta; Magnoliopsida; Brassicales; Brassicaceae.